This 376-nucleotide ribosomal RNA is filed under the name uncultured Ochrophyta. RNAcentral describes it as "SSU rRNA". It matches the Rfam family "Eukaryotic small subunit ribosomal RNA", at positions 576 to 926 of the family's 1831-position model. The record is from RNAcentral.
GCGGUAAUUCCAGCUCCAAUAGCGUAUAUUGAAGUUGCUGCAGUUAGAGAGCUCGUAGUUGGAUUUGUGGAGCGGCCAUCCGUCGCGGCGCCAGCUCUUCGUAGCAGGUGGUGUUCGCUAGUCCCGGCUUCGCGGCUGCUCCUUUCUCGGGAAGCGAGUGGCUGGCAUUAGGUUGUCGGCCGCUUCGCGCCCGUCUCUUACUGUGAAAAAAGUGGAGUGUUCAAAGCAGGCUCAGGCCGUUGGAUACAUUAGCAUGGAAUAAUGAGAUAAGGCCGCGGUGGUGAUCUUUUCUGUUGGUUUGCCCACACGGCGCAAUGAUUAAAGAGAACGGUUGGGGGUAUUCGUAUUCAACUGUCAGAGGUGAAAUUCUCGGAUU